GGGUGUUCGCCGCCAUAUUCGGAGGUGGGCAGGUUCUUACGCUGGUCGGGCCGCCAGCG
Molecule: non-coding RNA, 59 nt
Filed under: Sphingomonas melonis
Lineage: Bacteria; Pseudomonadati; Pseudomonadota; Alphaproteobacteria; Sphingomonadales; Sphingomonadaceae
Also listed under: 2 other names
Description: nhaA-I RNA
Rfam family: nhaA-I RNA
About the family: Acidobacteria, Alphaproteobacteria, Betaproteobacteria and Gammaproteobacteria, Verrucomicrobia, cand. division NC10.
Source: Rfam by way of RNAcentral